Molecule: small nuclear RNA, 18 nt
Filed under: Arabidopsis thaliana (thale cress)
Lineage: Eukaryota; Viridiplantae; Streptophyta; Magnoliopsida; Brassicales; Brassicaceae
Description: snRNA_00040
Source: RNAcentral
CUGAUGUUGAACCAUUGA